AAUUAAUUUCUGCUCUGCAAGCUCUGGGUUUAUAAAAAAAAAAUAAUAAUAAUAACGUUUAAAUAAUAAAAAAUCUGUAUGGUGUUCGUCGUGAAGUUUUAACCCCCUUCUACUUAUAUACAUGUGCUGGUGUAGGCUUCUGUCGCCGCCUCUGUACAUAGAUGUUGUAGUUAGUUGGUUGCGGGACACGUGUCAACGUAACAUGUAUUUGGACACCACGCUCUCGGACUUGACAGAAAAUGGUUCUAGUGAUGAAAGAUAUAGUUAUAUUUUCUACUACAUUACACGUGACAUUCUUACGAAGCACCAACAUAAAGAGCAAACAAAAAAAAAAUCACAAUAACGGAAGAUAAUUCUUGUAUAUAGUUUAUUGACAGAAGUACAAAUCCACUUCUCAGCUGUUGUCUUUUGUGAAUUGUUAACGGAGAGGUUAUAUCUGUUAAGAGUUGUUUAUAGUAAAAAAAAAAAAUGGUGGUAUAUAUAUUUUUUGAUCUGGAAAGUGUGUGUGCCUUAAUAAACCAAUAGGUAUACGUGCGAAUAGGCACCUAUACUAGAAUCGCUGAUGACUUAAAUGAUUUGUUGAGUUUAAUUUUGAAAAUGUUAUGUAUUGUAUAAGUGCCCAUUCGCUGCGUAAUUUAUUGAGGAAUGUCUCAUGAGCACAAACAUACUAUAACACAAAAAUCCCCUAAAAAGUUGUUAAUGGGCUGUUAUCAGCAUGGGAAAAAAAUGGCGUCCGAUUUAGCGAUGUGUCCAUCGUGUCAUUGUCAUCACAUUAUUUUUUUUUUUUCUUCAUUGCUACGUUUAUCAUCAUGGAAAUGGAGGGUGAUGGACCAAAACAAAAAUCCCGUUCACGAGAUGAAAACAUGGGGAAAUCAAAAAACAAAAAAAUAUUAUAAUAUUAACUUUUUUUUUUAAAAAAAAGGGGGAUUACUCGGGGAGAAUUAAAAAAAAUCAAAAUUAUUAUUAUUAUUACUACUACUACUAUUACUACUAUUACUAUUACUAAAGAAUGUUAAAUAAUACCGAGAUUUUUACGCCCUUUGUCGAAUUCUGAACUCUUAAAAGAGUGAUAAUCGCACACUAACAGAGUUCUUAUACAGGUGCCUUCCUAUCUACCAUUGUGUUUUGUUGAUUGUUAUUCCCUGAAUGGUGAUACAUCUUGGAAACGUGGAGGGCUACUGAAUUUAGAAAUAAAAAAAAAAAAAUGUUUAAAUAAAAAAAAAUAUAUAUGGAGAUUUUUAUGGUGUACAAAAUAGAGAUCAUGUGGGAAAAUAGCUGAUAUUGUAAGUUUCAUCACUUCCAUGUUUGUUGUUGCUGUUUACAAAAAAAAAUGAAUUUAAAAAAAAAAAAAAAGGAUUAUGUAUAACUAAAAAAAAUGUCAAAUAUAUAUAUAAAAAAAUAACGUGUAAAAUUUGUGGAUUCUUGUGUCACACAAUCACAGAACCGAGUUUGUUGUGUUUUUUUUUUCUUCUUUUUUUCGUUGACACAUAAGAAUUUAUAUAAAUAACGAGACC
Molecule: long non-coding RNA, 1514 nt
Filed under: Androctonus crassicauda
Lineage: Eukaryota; Metazoa; Arthropoda; Arachnida; Scorpiones; Buthidae
Source: RNAcentral